Molecule: ribosomal RNA, 327 nt
Filed under: uncultured eukaryote
Lineage: Eukaryota
Description: partial 18S ribosomal RNA
Rfam family: Eukaryotic small subunit ribosomal RNA
Source: RNAcentral
CCCUUAGAUGUUCUGGGCCGCACGCGCGCUACACUGAUUCAUGCAACAAGUUUUGUCCUUGGCUGAUAGGCCUGGGUAAUCUUUGAACGUGAAUCGUGAUGGGGAUAGAUGAUUGCAAUUAUUCAUCUUCAACGAGGAAUUCCUAGUAAACGCAAGUCAUCAGCUUGCAUUGAUUACGUCCCUGCCCUUUGUACACACCGCCCGUCGCACCUACCGAUUGAAUGGUCCGGUGAAAUCUUCGGAUCUGAGAGAUGUCUGAUUAAUUUCGGACGCCUUUUGGAAAAGUUGCUUAAACCUUACCAUUUAGAGGAAGGUGGAGUCGUAACA